CUGCAACCCGCCUGUAUGAAGUUGGAAUCGCUAGUAAUCGCGGAUCAGCAUGCCGCGGUGAAUACGUUCCCGGGCCUUGUACACACCGCCCGUCACACCAUGAGAGUCGGGAACACCCGAAGUCCGUAGCCUAACUUAUCUGAGAGGGCGCGGCCGAAGGUGGGUUCGAUAAUUGGGGUGAAGUCGUAACAAGGUAUC
RNAcentral lists this ribosomal RNA (198 nucleotides) under uncultured bacterium. RNAcentral describes it as "partial 16S ribosomal RNA". It matches the Rfam family "Bacterial small subunit ribosomal RNA", at positions 1305 to 1500 of the family's 1533-position model. The record is from RNAcentral.